RNAcentral lists this transfer RNA (74 nucleotides) under Candidatus Zixiibacteriota bacterium. RNAcentral's name for it is "candidate division Zixibacteria bacterium tRNA-Arg". It matches the Rfam family "tRNA". Rfam says of the family: Transfer RNA (tRNA) molecules are approximately 80 nucleotides in length. Their secondary structure includes four short double-helical elements and three loops (D, anti-codon, and T loops). Further hydrogen bonds mediate the characteristic L-shaped molecular structure. tRNAs have two regions of fundamental functional importance: the anti-codon, which is responsible for specific mRNA codon recognition, and the 3' end, to which the tRNAs corresponding amino acid is attached (by aminoacyl-tRNA synthetases). tRNAs cope with the degeneracy of the genetic code in two manners: having more than one tRNA (with a specific anti-codon) for a particular amino acid; and 'wobble' base-pairing, i.e. permitting non-standard base-pairing at the 3rd anti-codon position. The record is from RNAcentral. Lineage: Bacteria; Pseudomonadati; Candidatus Zixiibacteriota. RNAcentral also lists the same sequence under 1 other name.
GCCCCCGUAGCUCAGUUGGAUAGAGCAUCGGUUUCCUAAACCGAGGGCCACUGGUUCGAAUCCAGUCGGGGGUA